AAACCAUAUAAUAUAUGGUGGGCGGGGAUGGGGGUGGGAGUAGGGGUAAGGUGAAGGCUCGAUUGGGAGGGUUUUGCAGCUUUUAAGAAUGGAAAGACAAAGUUCUAGAGAUGAAACGGUAAGGAUCCUCAAGAUUGGGACUCAAUCUUUUUUUUUUGUUUUUUAAUAGUUGUUCUACAACUGAAUUGGAGAUUAAUUUAUUUGAUGUCAGAUCAUUGUCGGCAUCUGUAAAACGGGCUGGCUGUUUGUGGUUCAUCUAUUACUGACCCGUGAAUCCGAUUUGCUUAAUUUGUGUUGUGGUCCUUUCAAUUUUUGUCUCCAUGUUUUAUGUUAUAUUUUCCUAUUACAGCAUCUCCAUGUGCUAUUCGCUAAAACCACUCCCCUCUUUGAAGUACAAAAAAGCAUCAUUCAUUGUCCCAUUACCAUUUCUCUAGGAAGGACAGAGACACAUGCACGAACAUGUGAGUGUACUAUACGAGUACAUCGUUACGUGAGCUUUUGGACGAG
Molecule: long non-coding RNA, 507 nt
Filed under: Olea europaea subsp. europaea
Lineage: Eukaryota; Viridiplantae; Streptophyta; Magnoliopsida; Lamiales; Oleaceae
Source: RNAcentral